ACUCCUACGGGAGGCAGCAGUGAGGAAUCUUCCGCAAUGGGCGCAAGUCUGAACCAGCCAUGCCGCGUGCAGGAUGACGGUCCUAUGGAUUGUAAACUGCUUUUGUACGAGAAGAAACACUCCUAUGUAUAGGAGCUUGACGGUAUCGUAAGAAUAAGGAUCGGCUAACUCCGUGCCAGCAGCCGCGGUAAUACGGAGGAUCCAAGC
This 207-nucleotide ribosomal RNA is filed under the name uncultured bacterium. Its description in RNAcentral is "partial 16S ribosomal RNA". It matches the Rfam family "Bacterial small subunit ribosomal RNA", at positions 335 to 539 of the family's 1533-position model. The record is from RNAcentral.